This 206-nucleotide ribosomal RNA is filed under the name Serratia marcescens. Its description in RNAcentral is "partial 23S ribosomal RNA". It matches the Rfam family "Bacterial large subunit ribosomal RNA", at positions 1 to 198 of the family's 2925-position model. The record is from RNAcentral. Lineage: Bacteria; Pseudomonadati; Pseudomonadota; Gammaproteobacteria; Enterobacterales; Yersiniaceae.
GGGUUGUGAGGUUAAGUGACUAAGCGUACACGGUGGAUGCCUAGGCAGUCAGAGGCGAUGAAGGGCGUGCUAAUCUGCGAAAAGCGUCGGUAAGGUGAUAUGAACCGUUAYAACCGGCGAUACCCGAAUGGGGAAACCCAGUGUGUUUCGACACACUAUCAUGUCAUGAAUACAUAGUGGCAUGAGGCGAACCGGGGGAACUGAAA